This 1019-nucleotide long non-coding RNA is filed under the name Equus caballus (horse). RNAcentral describes it as "lncRNA (ENSECAG00000028786.2)". The record is from RNAcentral. Lineage: Eukaryota; Metazoa; Chordata; Mammalia; Perissodactyla; Equidae.
GCCUACAGGCCUGGAGGGACACGAGCAGCUCCCAGGAGCUAUGGGACUUUGAGGAGAGGAGGACAGAGUAUUUUAAGUUUGGUUGGGCUUCAUGCAGUGGAAUUUCCCCUGGUUACCCCUUAAGAAGAGUUUGCAUUAAGAGCUUCAGUGUGUCUCAAAGUUUUCGAGUCUGAUGGCAGUUCUCAGGAAUAUGGCUCCAGCUUGAGGUGUGCCUUGCAGUGGAAGCAGAUGGGCUGUGUUUUAUUUGAGUUACAGGAGAGCAGAGGCCCCUGUUCUUAAUGCAGCGUUGAGAGUGGAAAGCAGGGAGGAUAUUCAGAGAUGUGAGAAGAUGGGGCUUGGAAACCAGCUGCUGAUCCUCAGAGCACGCCAGCGCACUGGCGUCCCCCAGACGACAUCCAGGUGAUGAGGAUCAAGACUCCCCAGGGAGAGAAGCCCAAGGCGUCCUGCCUACAUGGCAUCUAUGUCAUCCUCCAGGCAGUCUAGGAUGUCCUGACCUAAUCCGACCUGAUUUGUAUCCAAAGUUAUAGGACCAUCCGAUAACCAACCCCAGCUGCACAGAUACCAUUUCAACAACUUUUCUCACUUGACCUUUCCUUUGUCUUGUAAAGAAAUAACUCACAUGCCUAUGCCUUAUAAAUAAGCUCUACUCUCAACCCAUUGCAGCUCUUCAGGCCCACAGGUCCUGUCCCCAUGCCUGCAGGUCUCACUGCCCACGGGUCCUGUCCCCACACCUGCAGCUCUCACUGCCCACCACUCCUGUCCCCAUGCUAUUCUCUGAAUAAAGGAGCACUACUACCAGACCUUGAGAGUCCAAGAAAUUUUUCUUUUGACUCCCCACCUUGCAAAGCCCGCAUCACAGGGAGGGGUUGCCUGACCACCGUGCAGGCUGCUCUGCUCUGCUCUGCUUAUCGCCAAGGGAGGCCAGAUAUAGGGGCAUCCCACUCAGUCCCCGACAUCCAACACUGCUCAGGCCCAGCCGCCUCCAAGGAAAUGCCCCUCCCUCAGGGACGGGGACUCCC